Molecule: long non-coding RNA, 670 nt
Organism: Acanthochromis polyacanthus (spiny chromis)
Lineage: Eukaryota; Metazoa; Chordata; Actinopteri; Pomacentridae
Exons: 4
Source: RefSeq, a predicted model, not a curated record
GGCAAGCCUCCGUGUGAGUGAGUGUGGACAUGUUGCUGUGCAGCGUGGAGCAGUGUUGGCAUUUUUAAUCAGCGUGGCAUACCUGAGGGCUAGACUGUGGAGCUUGUGGGUGCAGCACGUUCCCGUGGCCAUUACCAGCUGAGCCUGGGCUGCGGGCCUCCUCUGUCGCUGUCCGACCAGUCAGCCUCACUCUCCGCGUGUGGCACUCCUUGGCCGCCACCAACGCUGCUGUCUUGGCUCUCUUUUUUUGGAGUGGUGGUGUCUUCUCUCCGGUGCUGCUGCUGUUAGGGCAGGCUGGGGAUUGGCUGGGGCCGCAUGUGUGCCAGACACCGCCGCUGUGGAGAUUCUGGCUCUCUUUCUUAAUGUUGCAGACAUCUUUAUUUGCUAUGUUUGUCGUAUUUUUUUGUUAGCUUUUCAUUUGAAUCCCUGUUUUGUGGAGUUUAUAUUUGGAUUUGUUUUUUCUACUCUGCUUCUUAUUUUUGGAUUAUUUGCUCAAUUGUGGGUUUUGGUUUGAGAUUAGUUUUCUUAUGUUGUGAAUAAUUUGUGUUAACUCUGGUUUUGAUUAACUGUUUUUGUUGUUUGUUUUUUUUUCCUUUUUGGGGGUUGCUGUGUUUGUUAUUAGUGGUGUGAGGGCUGCCCAUUACAUGUUUUAAUUGUGUGGGGUUUUUUU